GGCCUAUCCCCAUCUAACUUUUCCUAAAAUUCUAAGUUACGUAAAUGUUGAAACUAAAAUGUAACUAAAGCUAAAAAAGUCAAAAAAGGCCUACCUAACUUUUAAAUGCUAACUUAUUACAUUUCACGAUAAUAAUUCUACUCUGUACAGUAUCUUGUCUCCUUUAGUUUUUGUCGUAUUUGCUCCAUUAUUGCUUUGUAUCUGCUCCAUUAUUGCUCUUUAUCUGCUCCAUUAUUGCUCUUUAUCUGCUCCAUUAUUGCUCUUUAUCUGCUCCAUUAUUGCUCUUUAUCUGCUCCAUUAUUGCUCUUUAUCUGCUCCAUUAUUGCUCUUUAUCUGCUCCAUUAUUGCUCUUUAUCUGCUCCAUUAUUGCUCUUUAUCUUUAUCCUUCCAGCUGGCAUUUUAUCUUCUUUAUUCUAAAUGUACCUCUGGAAUAAUAUUAUCUUCUCCAUUGCACCUCGAACAUUGGUGGUCUGGAUAUUUAUGUCCAAUUAUCUUACAGUAUCUCGUUAGUAGUCCGUCUGAAAUAAAUCCCUUUUUUAUUGCUCGUGCGGUAGAUUGUUUUUCUGGGUUGAGUAGUGUCAAUAUCCACUGUCUUACAUCUUCCAUAUCUGCUUGUCUUAGUUCUUUCGAAUUUGAAUAUAUCAUUUGGUG
Molecule: long non-coding RNA, 651 nt
Filed under: Capsicum annuum
Lineage: Eukaryota; Viridiplantae; Streptophyta; Magnoliopsida; Solanales; Solanaceae
Description: long non-coding RNA (CANN_LNC017597)
Source: RNAcentral